RNAcentral lists this transfer RNA (119 nucleotides) under Hyperthermus butylicus DSM 5456. It matches the Rfam family "tRNA". Rfam says of the family: Transfer RNA (tRNA) molecules are approximately 80 nucleotides in length. Their secondary structure includes four short double-helical elements and three loops (D, anti-codon, and T loops). The record is from Rfam by way of RNAcentral. Lineage: Archaea; Thermoproteati; Thermoproteota; Thermoprotei; Desulfurococcales; Pyrodictiaceae.
GCCGGGGUGGCCGAGCGGUCCAAGGCGGUGGGCUCGAGACCCAGGUUUUCCGGCUUGGUAGGGGCUGGGAGACCCACUGCCCCGUAAGGGGCGCGCGGGUUCAAAUCCCGCCCCCGGCG